UACGGGGGGCGCAAGCGUUGUUCGGAAUUACUGGGCGUAAAGGGCUCGUAGGCGGCCAACUAAGUCGGACGUGAAAUCCCUCAGCUUAACUGGGGAACUGCGUCCGAUACUGGAUGGCUUGAGUUUGGGAGAGGGAUGCGGAAUUCCAGGUGUAGCGGUGAAAUGCGUAGAUAUCUGGAGGAACACCGGUGGCGAAGGCGGCAUCCUGGACCAACACUGACACUGAGGAGCGAAAGCCAGGGGAGCAAACGGG
Molecule: ribosomal RNA, 253 nt
Filed under: uncultured bacterium
Lineage: Bacteria
Description: partial 16S ribosomal RNA
Rfam family: Bacterial small subunit ribosomal RNA
Source: RNAcentral